This 253-nucleotide ribosomal RNA is filed under the name uncultured bacterium. Its description in RNAcentral is "partial 16S ribosomal RNA". It matches the Rfam family "Bacterial small subunit ribosomal RNA", at positions 524 to 776 of the family's 1533-position model. The record is from RNAcentral.
UACGAAGGGUGCAAACGUUGCUCGGAAUUAUUGGGCGUAAAGCGCACGUAGGCGGCUUAGCAAGUCGGACGUGAAAUCCCUCGGCUCAACCAAGGAAGUGCUUUCGAAACUGCUGAGCUUGAGUAGUUAAGAGGAUCGCGGAAUUCCCGGUGUAGAGGUGGAAUUCGUAGAUAUCGGGAGGAACACCAGUGGCGAAGGCGGCGAUCUGGGAACAUACUGACGCUGAGGUGCGAAAGCGUGGGGAGCAAACAGG